RNAcentral lists this ribosomal RNA (492 nucleotides) under uncultured bacterium. RNAcentral's name for it is "partial 16S ribosomal RNA". It matches the Rfam family "Bacterial small subunit ribosomal RNA", at positions 29 to 507 of the family's 1533-position model. The record is from RNAcentral.
AGUGAACGCUGGCGGUAGGCCUAACACAUGCAAGUCGAACGGCAGCACAGUAAGAGCUUGCUCUUACGGGUGGCGAGUGGCGGACGGGUGAGGAAUACAUCGGAAUCUACUUUUUCGUGGGGGAUAACGUAGGGAAACUUACGCUAAUACCGCAUACGACCUACGGGUGAAAGCAGGGGAUCUUCGGACCUUGCGCGAUUGAAUGAGCCGAUGUCGGAUUAGCUAGUUGGCGGGGUAAAGGCCCACCAAGGCGACGAUCCGUAGCUGGUCUGAGAGGAUGAUCAGCCACACUGGAACUGAGACACGGUCCAGAGUCCUAAGGGAGGCAGCAGUGGGGAAUAUUGGACAAUGGGCGCAAGCCUGAUCCAGCCAUACCGCGUGGGUGAAGAAGGCCUUCGGGUUGUAAAGCCCUUUUGUUGGGAAAGAAAAGCAGCAGGUUAAUACCCCGCUGUUCUGACGGUACCCAAAGAAUAAGCACCGGCUAACUUCGUG